RNAcentral lists this ribosomal RNA (166 nucleotides) under uncultured bacterium. Its description in RNAcentral is "partial 16S ribosomal RNA". It matches the Rfam family "Bacterial small subunit ribosomal RNA", at positions 1335 to 1500 of the family's 1533-position model. The record is from RNAcentral.
CUAGUAAUCGCGAAUCAGAAUGUCGCGGUGAAUACGUUCCCGGGUCUUGUACACACCGCCCGUCACACCAUGGGAGUCGGAUAUGCCCGAAGCCGGUGACCUAACCGCAAGGAAGGAGCCGUCGAAGGUGGAGCCGAUGACUGGGGUGAAGUCGUAACAAGGUACC